UCAAAGCCUUUGGAACAAAGCUGCAACUUUUCCUAAGGCAGUUGUCACAAACACAGCCCAAUCCCAUAAAUUUUUCAGCGUUACAGGAAAUAAUAAACAGUUUUCCACAGGACAAUAUCAGUGCGCAAACGAGUAGGUAAAACGGCGCUUUCAGGAUUUUGCUGCUAUUGAAAGGGAGAUCAGCCUUUUCUCCUCUCCAUUCUCUGUUGACCCCAAUGAUGCUCCAGAUCAGCUGCAGCUCAAGCUCAUUGAGCUGCAUUGUGACAGAAAGUUACGCAUUUGUCACAAACAGCUCUCUCUUAUGAACUUUUACCGCCAUCUGAAUAAGAGCCGGUUUCAAGAGAUUCGAACAUUGGCUAAGAAAAUGCUGAGCUUGUUUGGCUCAACAUAUUUGUGCGAGAAGACAUUCUUUGCUAUGAACUUUAACAAGAACCGUGUGAGGACAAGACUAAGUUCCUGUUCAGAUUUUUUUAACUUAAAAGUUGACAUACAACCUUUAUUACUAAUAAUAUGUUAUGUACUUUACAAUGUUCCUGACAUAUAUUUUAGCGUCCUGGUUUUUUU
This is a non-coding RNA of Pelobates cultripes (western spadefoot toad), 564 nucleotides long. The record is from the annotation of a GenBank genome assembly. NCBI's taxonomy places the organism in Eukaryota, Metazoa, Chordata, Amphibia, Anura, Pelobatidae.